RNAcentral lists this ribosomal RNA (403 nucleotides) under uncultured bacterium. RNAcentral's name for it is "partial 16S ribosomal RNA". It matches the Rfam family "Bacterial small subunit ribosomal RNA", at positions 30 to 526 of the family's 1533-position model. The record is from RNAcentral.
AUUGAACGCUGGCGGCAUGCCUAACACAUGCAAGUCGAGCGAGCGGCGGACGGGUGAGUAAUGUAUGGGGACUGCCCGAUAGAGGUGGCUAACUACUGGAACCGGUAUCUAAUAACGCAUACUAUCGGAUAACCCAUAUGGGAUUAGCUAGUAGGUGAGGUAAUGGCUCACCUAGGCGACGAUCCCUAGCUGGUCUGAGAGGAUGAUCAGCCACACUGGGACUGAGACACGGCCCAGACUCCUACGGAGGCAGCAGUGGGGAAUAUUGCACAAUGGGCGCAAGCCUGAUGCAGCCAUGCCGCGUGUAUGAAGAAGGCCCUAGGGUUGUAAAGUACUUUCAUUCGGGAGGCGUUACCGACAGAAGAAGCACCGGCUAACUCCGUGCCAGCAGCCGCGGUAAUAC